GGGACAUGCCGGCAGCUACACAUGCAGUCGAGCGCCCUCUUCGGAGGGAGCGGCGGACGGGUUAGUAACGCGUGGGAACGUGCCCUUCUCUGCGGAAUAGCCACUGGAAACGGUGAGUAAUACCGCAUACGCCCUUCGGGGGAAAGAUUUAUCGGAGAAGGAUCGGCCCGCGUUAGAUUAGGUAGUUGGUGGGGUAAUGGCCUACCAAGCCUACGAUCUAUAGCUGGUUUGAGAGGAUGAUCAGCAACACUGGGACUGAGACACGGCCCAGACUCCUACGGGAGGCAGCAGUGGGGAAUCUUAGACAAUGGGCGCAAGCCUGAUCUAGCCAUGCCGCGUGAGUGAUGAAGGCCUUAGGGUCGUAAAGCUCUUUCGCUGGGGAAGAUAAUGACUGUACCCAGUAAAGAAACCCCGGCUAACUCCGUGCCAGCAGCCGCGGUAAU
This 443-nucleotide ribosomal RNA is filed under the name Salipiger abyssi. Its description in RNAcentral is "bacterial SSU rRNA". It matches the Rfam family "Bacterial small subunit ribosomal RNA", at positions 37 to 524 of the family's 1533-position model. Lineage: Bacteria; Pseudomonadati; Pseudomonadota; Alphaproteobacteria; Rhodobacterales; Roseobacteraceae. The record is from RNAcentral.